Molecule: RNA transcript, 4636 nt
Organism: Dendrobium catenatum
Lineage: Eukaryota; Viridiplantae; Streptophyta; Magnoliopsida; Asparagales; Orchidaceae
Exons: 7
Source: RefSeq, a predicted model, not a curated record
CUUCUAUAGGCCGUCUGUAAGAAAUUUCGGAACAGAGUGCUAAUCUCACUUCUCUCUCGUCUAUUCUCGUAGUGUGAUCUCUGUCUCCCUUUUCUUCCGUGCUGCAUAAGGAAAUAGAACACGGUUGUCGUUGCAAGUAAUGGGUAAAAGGUUGUUUUCCGGCAAGGUGAGUUCUUUACCGGACAAUCUCCGGUGCCGACGAUCCGAUGGCCGGCAAUGGCGGUGCCCGCAGCCGGCCAAAUCUGGUCUCAGCUUCUGUGAGUACCAUUACCAGCAGUUACGCCGUAACCAGGAUAACAUCAAGAACAACAAUGUGGUGGCUGCCGCAGCCGCCGAGCCCGAACGGAGGCUUCUUUUUGCGGCCGAUCCGCCACUGUCGGAAAAGAGACGGCGGAGGCGAAUAAGGAAGGAUCCGGCGGCGGCGGCGCCGAUCUUGUUGGAGAAGAUGGAUGAAGGAGAUCUAAAGAGAAAAUCUUCUGACCUGAAGCUGAAUGGGAGCCUGUCCUCGCCGGAUAAAUUUCAGCAUCAUCAAUUCGACGACCGAGAAUGGCAGUGCUCGCAGCCAUCUAUGCCUUUUCUCAGCUUCGGCGGUCGCCGCCACGUACGCUGCAAACAGCCAAACGAAGAGAAUAACAAGGUAAUUGAACCAAAGCCCAAGCGGAGUCCUCGCCUUGUUGCCGAUCCGACGCCGUCGAUAAAUCGUCGACGGCGGCGGCGGGUGAAGGGGGGAACUAGGGCAGAGGAGUCGAUGAAGAUCUCGGAGCGGGAAGAGAUUACGUGUGACAUGGAGGCUGCUGAACCUGCAGUGACGAGGGACCUUUCGAUUCCAGAUGCGUUCCGGUGCCGGCGUUCCGAUGGCCGGAAAUGGCGGUGCACGCAGCCGGCCAUUCCUGGUCUUGGCUUUUGCGAGCAUCACCAGAUGCGCUGCAAACAGACCUACAACAAGAACACAAUGGUAAAGGUCGCGAAGUCCGAUCGGGGAUUUCAGUUUCCCGUCAAUCCACGGCAUUCGACAAAGCAGAUGCAGCGAAGUCAGAUGGGGGAGCAGCUUGUGGAGGAUCUAAUGAGGAUGGAGCAAAAUAAGCAGGGCUUGAAGGCAGUGGAGCUGGCCACGAUUGAACUAAGUUUGCACGAUAAAGAACUGUUGUGCUGCAAAGAGGACAACAGCAAAAAUGGCGAGGCGGAGCAAAGGGAGAUGGAAGCUGAGACCGCCGAGUAUUCCACUCCAGAAGAAAUGGAGGCCGUCGAGCCGGCUACGCCGGCCCAAAAUCUUUGUGACAACGACCAGCAUUGCUGCAAAGAGGACAACAACAGAUACAAGGAGGCGGCCACCAAGCCCAAUUGUAGGUUGUACUUCACCGGAGAUCCGCAACCUUCUAUGAAAGACCUCUCUCUACCGGAUCACCUACGGUGUCGGCGAUCCGACGGUCGAAAAUGGCGGUGUCCUCAACUGUCUGUGCCUAGUGUUGGCUUCUGUGAGUAUCAUUACCUCCAGUUGCGACGCAACCAGGGUAAAAGGAAGAACUCCAAGUUGGCUUCAGGGGCUAAACGCAAGCGGGAGUUGCGCCUUGCCACUAAUCAGUCUCUAGCUAGGAAGCAGCGGCCUCAGCGGAUGAACUGGGGGCUGCCGGGGGAAGAGCAGAUGAGGACAAAGCAGAAAGAGGAGAGAGAUGAAGGGAUGGAGGCCACCAAUGUAGAGGUCACGAGGGACCUUCCCAAUGGUGUGAUGGCGAUCUCGCCAGCGCCUGUGAGUGUUCCGGCUAAUGCAUCUCCUUGGCUCCAUUGGAAGAUCGGGUCUGAUGAAGGGUAUUUGUUUGAGCGGCGUUUCCGAUCGAAGAAUGCUGAGCUGGUGCCAUUGGUAAAGCUUCCUUUUUCCAGAAGUGUGAUAGGUCGCAGAAAGAAGGUUUGUCAUCGUUGCAGGGCCAGGGAGAAUAAAGAUGAGCGCAGGAUCUGUUGUUUUAAUUGCCAUGAGUUCUUCUGCUCAACCUGCAUUGAGACUUGGCACUCCGAGUUAUCCGAACUUGAAGUCAAGAUGUCUUGUCCUGUCUGUCUUGGUUGCUGCACCUGCAUAAAUUGCAAUUCCAGAAGUGAUAAGGAUGGUGGGUCUAAGAAACUAGUAAUUCGUCAAAACAAGCUAGGCACAAGGUGUUAUGACCAUCAUUUGAUUUGUGAUCUCAUCCCACUAGUGAAGCAAAUUAAUGGCGAACAAAUUGCUGAACUGGAAAUAGAAGCAAAUAACCAAGGAAUGGAGCUACUUGAUGCUAGCGUUGAAGUUGCAAAAUAUAGUGACAAUGAGCAAGUUUACUGCAACAAUUGCAGAACAAAGAUCAAUGAUUUUUAUAGGAAUUGCUCCACGUGUACUUACAGAUUCUGCCUAAGCUGUUGUCAGAAGAUUCGGGUUGGAAGUUUGACUAAAGGUGAUGGAACAGUUGUUUGCAAGUAUUUGAAGAGAAACCAUAAAUAUUGUCGUGUUGACAAGGCUUUCUAUGGAAAGAAAGUUGGACUUUCUUCUAAAAAGCAUGUUAAUGUUUCAGCCUUGUGUACAUCAGUUCUGCCUGACUGGACAACUAAUAAAGAUGGCAGCAUUUCUUGUCCUCCAAAAGUGCUUGGAGGUUGUGGUGUUGGCAUUCUCAAUAUUAAUUUUGCUAUCAUGUCCGUCUCUGCUAAAUCCAUUUCAGAAUAAAUCGUUUCUUCUCUUGGUUAACCUUAUAAGGUUGGACGAUGCUUUUACUUCUACUCUUUUGGUUCUUCAAAGGAUAGCUUGGGAUUUCAUAUUUGAUUGAAAGAAGGCUUACUGGGAUGAUACCUUUUUCCAGUAAUGCUUUUUUCUCCCCUGGUGAAUUGUAGCUUUGUGCUAUGGGUCACUCGUCGCUUCUUUGCAACAAGCUAUUGUGCAAUGCAAGCUUUUUGAAUUUGUUUGUAGGUAGUGCGUCGUUAGUGGACAACCAAUAGUCACCUGUUGUUGCAUGCAAGCGGACUACAUUCAGUGUAUGUUUUGCUCAUCAGCAGGUCAUAGCGCUAUGUUAUAGGUCGCUCGUCGCUUCUUUCAAGCAACCUAUCGUGCCAUGCAUGCUUUGUUGAAUUCAUUUGUAGGUAGUCAGGGACAUUCAAAAAUCACCCGAUGUUGCGUAUAGAUGAACCAUAUUCAACGUGGAUUUUUCAACAUUACCCACAGGUGGGUUAUAGCUCUGUGCUACGAGUCGCUCACUGCUUCUUGUAGACGAGCUGUCGUGCACUGAUGAGUUUUAUGUAGUUUCUCAUAGAUGCUUGCAUUGAUCACAAGCUCAUUACUUCGUCUACAUGUAGUGUAUUGCACUGGUUGUAAUCUCCUUUUGUUUGUGAAGAAUCCAUCAUACUUACGGCAAGUCCACUAUUGUUUCUUGUAGACAGGAUCGUUGUAUGCAUUACAGGCCUUCUACCAUUACCUACGGGCAAGUUGCUUUGCAUGCAAAUAUUCUAGUGUUGCCCAUAGGUAUUUGCAUUUGCAGAAGUUCUUUUGUAUUUGUUGAAUAGAUCAUAUCAUCCUCAUCAUUCGUAAGGAAUGAUCGUAUUCAUGUGCAAGUGAACCGACAUUGAUUGCAGGGAUGCUCUAGCAUUCAUUUCAUGCUAUUUGUUAUCAUCCAGAGAUAUAUAAUAUAUGGUGAGCUUAAGUAUUUUUUAGGGCUGUGAACAAGCCAUUUAGUUCUACCAUGCUCAAGUAUGUUUAUUUGUUUUAAUUGUUGUUCAUAAGGCUUUUGUAAUUCAAGUAUGAUUUUUACUCCUUUCGAAAUUUAAAUUAAUUAAAAAUGAGAAUAAAAUCAAUCCAUGUAAGAUUUGAGCAAGUUUCCAUUCCACUUUCUCCUAAAUCAAGGUGCCUCACCUGCACUGAAAAAAAAUGGAAAAGGGCUUGAUAAAUAAACACCAAAUGAGUUAUUAAAUAAUCUGCUAUCAAACAAAUAAUAGAUGAGUACUUUAGGGGGCUAUUUGUUAAAUUACAAACAAAUAUGUUAAAAGAACGUAAACAAAAUAUUAGUUUAUUUUCUAUCUAUUACCUUAUUGCUUGUUAUCUCAUUUUCACUACUUAAUGAAGUGCGCUUAUGAGUUUUACACUCCAGUUUAUUUGCUGAAUUACGUGACCAUGCAGUUUUUCUGUAUUACUUGUGUUAUCAAAUCUCUUAAAAUUUUUAGUAUUUUUAAUGUAUUUUUAGUAUCUUGCUCGAUGUAAAGCAACCUAAAAUAAGACACAUAAUCAUAUUUGUUUCAGAACUGACGAUUGCUUUCUAAUGUUUCAUGGGAACUACUGCUGUAUUCUGAAAUGGAGUUUUUUCUUCCCCUCUGAAAAUUGUUGCUAACUUUUCUAUACUGUUCUUAUUAAUCUGCAUUUAUCAUAUUUCCAUUUAUGCGAUGAUAAGUUCAGAUAUGUGCUUGUUAAAUUCAAAAUUGGAUUCAAUGUUUACAUUUUGUUUUUAGAAGUGUACAAACGGUUGUUUUUAUUCCUAGCACCUUUCAUUUAACAGAAUAAUAUUGUGUAACUAUUCCUACUCUAUAUUCAUUUUGAUUUAAAUUUCAUGGUAUUUAUUCCGCCAACAUGGUACCAUAUAAUUUUCCUGCAGAUUUAGCCUUGUGAAAACAUUCCAUUCUAAUGUAUAUAUAUCCC